UUGCUCACUUCAGCUGCACAUAUGCUAAAAUUGGAAGGAUACAGAGAAGAUUGUCAUGGCCCCUGCACAAGGAUGACACGCAUGAAGCAUUCCAUAUUUUU
This 101-nucleotide small nuclear RNA is filed under the name Pan troglodytes (chimpanzee). Lineage: Eukaryota; Metazoa; Chordata; Mammalia; Primates; Hominidae. The record is from RNAcentral.